Molecule: ribosomal RNA, 165 nt
Filed under: Echinops hololeucus
Lineage: Eukaryota; Viridiplantae; Streptophyta; Magnoliopsida; Asterales; Asteraceae
Description: 5.8S ribosomal RNA
Rfam family: 5.8S ribosomal RNA
About the family: 5.8S ribosomal RNA (5.8S rRNA) is a component of the large subunit of the eukaryotic ribosome.
Source: RNAcentral
CAUAAACGACUCUCGGCAACGGAUAUCUCGGCUCACGCAUCGAUGAAGAACGUAGCAAAAUGCGAUACUUGGUGUGAAUUGCAGAAUCCCGUGAACCAUCGAGUUUUUGAACGCAAGUUGCGCCCGAAGCCAUUCGGCCGAGGGCACGUCUGCCUGGGCGUCACG